This 651-nucleotide ribosomal RNA is filed under the name Glutamicibacter arilaitensis. RNAcentral describes it as "bacterial SSU rRNA". It matches the Rfam family "Bacterial small subunit ribosomal RNA", at positions 86 to 751 of the family's 1533-position model. Lineage: Bacteria; Bacillati; Actinomycetota; Actinomycetes; Micrococcales; Micrococcaceae. The record is from RNAcentral.
GGUGGAUUAGUGGCGAACGGGUGAGUAACACGUGAGUAACCUGCCCCCGACUUUGGGAUAAGCCCGGGAAACUGGGUCUAAUACCGGAUAUGACUUCCUGCCGCAUGGUGGGUUGUUGAAAGAUUUAUCGGUGGGGGAUGGACUCGCGGCCUAUCAGCUUGUUGGUGAGGUAAUGGCUCACCAAGGCGACGACGGGUAGCCGGCCUGAGAGGGUGACCGGCCACACUGGGACUGAGACACGGCCCAGACUCCUACGGGAGGCAGCAGUGGGGAAUAUUGCACAAUGGGCGGAAGCCUGAUGCAGCGACGCCGCGUGAGGGAUGACGGCCUUCGGGUUGUAAACCUCUUUCAGUAGGGAAGAAGCGAAAGUGACGGUACCUGCAGAAGAAGCGCCGGCUAACUACGUGCCAGCAGCCGCGGUAAUACGUAGGGCGCAAGCGUUAUCCGGAUUUAUUGGGCGUAAAGAGCUCGUAGGCGGUUUGUCGCGUCUGCCGUGAAAGUCCGAGGCUCAACCUCGGAUCUGCGGUGGGUACGGGCAGACUAGAGUGAUGUAGGGGAGACUGGAAUUCCUGGUGUAGCGGUGAAAUGCGCAGAUAUCAGGAGGAACACCGAUGGCGAAGGCAGGUCUCUGGGCAUUUACUGACGCUGAGG